Molecule: long non-coding RNA, 297 nt
Organism: Amphimedon queenslandica
Lineage: Eukaryota; Metazoa; Porifera; Demospongiae; Haplosclerida; Niphatidae
Exons: 4
Source: RefSeq, a predicted model, not a curated record
CCUAUAUAGGAUUCUCCUAUCUCUUAUGUUUUUUGUCUUCUUGUGUAUAAUACAGUUCCUUACUGAUACUAUAAGCUUGUGUUAACACAUACGCAUUGCGUGUCAAGAAUCAAGAUUCCAUUUCCGGCAAAAGAUGUGGGAGCAGAACUAUCCUAACAACAUGAUGGAGAAUGGAAUUAAGACAAAAUGCUAAGAAUAUUCAGAGCAUGUCCAAUUUGAACAAUGCCGUUAACUACUCAUAAUCAAUAAACAGUUUGUUCCAUGGACAUUAACUUAUUACUUAGAGAAAAGGAUGUG